This 292-nucleotide ribosomal RNA is filed under the name uncultured bacterium. Its description in RNAcentral is "partial 16S ribosomal RNA". It matches the Rfam family "Bacterial small subunit ribosomal RNA", at positions 505 to 796 of the family's 1533-position model. The record is from RNAcentral.
GUGCCAGCAGCCGCGGUAAGACAGAGGUGGCGAGCGUUGUUCGGAUUUAUUGGGCGUAAAGCGUACGCAGGCGGUUUGGUAAGUCAGAGGUGAAAGACCACAGCUUAACUGUGGCACUGCCUUUGAUACUGCCUUUCUAGAGUGCAUGAGGGGGAAGCGGAAUUCCGAGUGUAGAGGUGAAAUUCGUAGAUAUUCGGAGGAACACCGGUGGCGAAGGCGGCUUCCUGGCAUGUAACUGACGCUCAUGUACGAAAGCGUGGGUAGCAAACAGGAUUAGAUACCCGCGUAGUCC